UUGGGCUACAACGGUUGUACUGAUGUAUAGCAACUAGAAAUGCUCCGAAAAAUGGCACUACAGCAAUAUAAAGAUAAGUUCUGGCGGACUUGAUUCUAUGGUAGGUCUUAAAGGGUUAAUGCAAAUGCGGAGUUUAGCGUCGGCGGAAAGAUCGCGGCGCAUGCCAUGUAUUAAACAGCGCCAGCUGCAGCCUCACAUAGGCUGAUACUAGCGGUGGAGGAGAGACGAAAAAGCAGGAUACAGCCGAAAUGCUGCCCUGCUCCAACUUCAGUUUUACACGCAGAAAGUUUGAGCAGACUUUUCUUGUGUUUUUCGUCUCCCUGUGGACUUUGGAUAAAUAUGGCAUUUUCUAGUUUUUGAGUGCACUCACUCACCUGUAAGGGCAGUUGAGUCAGUGAAAUCUGUCCAUGGAUGUCGGUGUGUGCAGAAUGUGAGGGGAAAGAAGAGCAGACAGCAGCAGGAGAAGAUGAUCUGCAGGAUCCUGCUGCUCAUCAUCCUCACCUCAUGUGUCUCUGGAUCAUUUGUAGUCAAUGUGACACAGACCUGCUAUCAGGCAGAGGAGAACCACAACAUCACACUGGAGUGGACGUUCACCACCAAACCUGACAGAUCCUCCAAAACUCUCAACAUCCUCUGUGAACUCUUUAUCAGUGAUAACAUCUCAGUCGUGUAUCAUGUUCAUGAAGGUGUUGAGGUGUCAGAGUCUCAGGAUCCAAAGUUUUCAGGACGAGUCCAGAGUGACAAAGACGCCCUCAGAGAAGGACGAAUCAGACUUCAACUGUCCAGACUGAGGACUGAUGACUCGGGUCUGUACCUGUGUGAGGUCAACACUGAUUAUGGCUUCAGUGUUGGAAGAUGUCGACUCAACGUCACUGGAGAGAUUAAGUCUAAAUUUCUGGUGCUUUAUAACUUUAUUGAUACAAAACUGGAUGCUUCUCGUGACAUUGAGGUAACUUUCAGCAUUUUCUUUCUCUUUAAAAUGCUUUUUUAUUUUAUUCCUUACUGACAGUGAAAUUUAACACAAUCAACAAAUAAAUCUGUUUAGAUGAUGAGUCAGAGUGUGAUCCAGGUUAAUGAUAUAAUCAGGAACGGGCUUAGUGGUUUGCUGACAGUUGCCAUGAGCAGUUACGGAUGUUUCAGUGUAGGACAGCCUGAAUUUAAAUAACCGGUUUUCAACAAGUAGUGACUGAGUUAAAUGAAGCAAUCAGAACAAGCUGGGAAGCAUCUGAUUGUAGACAUUUUCAGACAGUUUCAGUUUUCUCUCAAUUGUUUAUUCACUGAGCAGCUUUCAGAUGUGGUGGAAUAGAGACUCCCAUCAUGGAUGUGCACCUGACAAAUAUGCAGAAAUGUGUGACACUGUCAUGUCAAUAUGGAUCAAAAUCUCUGAGGAAUGUUAAUACAUAAACUUGGAACUCUGAGUUAUAAUAAAAUGAGUGUGAACUAUAAAAACAUUUCAAAAAGAUAAAAUAAAUGGAGGCGACUGCACUCACCUCCAUUUUGCAUGUGGUUAAUUUGCAUAGCAGAGCUCUCCAAACUCUUGAAUAUUCAUCACAGGUGUGGAUGCAGGAAAUAAUGACGCAAACAAAACCAAUUGGCUGCACAGCAUGGGGCUGGAGGAGACGCACCAGUUACAUCAGGAAGGAGAUGAAAAAGCAUGUGAAGUGGUUGAGACUCGUGCAGCAAACAUGAGACUCCUCCCACCAAACAUAUUUGAGUUGUCCUGCGGGAAGGACCCGACUCACUGGUUCAAAAGACGCCGAG
Molecule: long non-coding RNA, 1761 nt
Organism: Oreochromis niloticus (Nile tilapia)
Lineage: Eukaryota; Metazoa; Chordata; Actinopteri; Cichliformes; Cichlidae
Source: Ensembl